GAUGAACGCUGGCGGCGUGCUUAACACAUGCAAGUCGAACGGAAAGGCCCUGCUUUUGUGGGGUGCUCGAGUGGCGAACGGGUGAGUAACACGUGAGUAACCUGCCCUUGACUUUGGGAUAACUUCAGGAAACUGGGGCUAAUACCGGAUAGGAGCUCCUGCUGCAUGGUGGGGGUUGGAGAGUUUCGGCGGUGGGGGAUGGACUCGCGGCUUAUCAGUUUGUUGGUGGGGUAGUGGCAUACCAAGGCUUUGAGGGGUAGGCGGCCUGAGAGGGUGGACAGACACAUUGGGCCUGCGGUAGGGCCCAGACUGCUACGUGGCGCAAGAGUGGGGAAUAUUGCACAAUGGGCGGGAGCCAGAUGCAGAAGCGCCGCGUGCGGGAUGAGCGGCUUCGGGUUGUAAACCGCUUUCGCCGGUGACGAAGCGUGAGUGACGGUACUGGGUAAAGAAGCACCGGCUAACUACGUG
This 468-nucleotide ribosomal RNA is filed under the name uncultured bacterium. RNAcentral describes it as "partial 16S ribosomal RNA". It matches the Rfam family "Bacterial small subunit ribosomal RNA", at positions 28 to 507 of the family's 1533-position model. The record is from RNAcentral.